UGGGGUUAUAUGGUCAAGCGAAUAAGCGCACACGGUGGAUGCCUAGGCGGUCAGAGGCGAUGAAGGACGUGGUAGCCUGCGAAAAGUGUCGGGGAGCUGGCAACAAGCUUUGAUCCGGCAAUAUCCGAAUGGGGAAACCCACUGCUUCGGCAGUAUCCUGCAGUGAAUUCAUAGCUGCUGGAAGCGAACCCCGU
RNAcentral lists this ribosomal RNA (194 nucleotides) under Xanthomonas hortorum pv. vitians. Its description in RNAcentral is "Xanthomonas campestris pv. vitians partial 23S ribosomal RNA". It matches the Rfam family "Bacterial large subunit ribosomal RNA", at positions 1 to 189 of the family's 2925-position model. The record is from RNAcentral. Lineage: Bacteria; Pseudomonadati; Pseudomonadota; Gammaproteobacteria; Lysobacterales; Lysobacteraceae.